GAUGAACGCUGGCGGCGUGCUUAACACAUGCAAGUCGAACGAUGAAGCCCAGCUUGCUGGGUGGAUUAGUGGCGAACGGGUGAGUAACACGUGAGUAACCUGCCCUUGACUCUAGGAUAAGCACGGGCAACUGGGUCUAAUACUGGAUAGGAACGUCUACCGCAUGGUGGGUGUUGGAAAGAAUUUCGGUCAUGGAUGGACUCUCGGCCUAUCAGCUUGUUGGUGAGGUAGUGGCUCACCAAGGCGACGACGGGUAGCCGGCCUUAGAGGGUGACCGGCCACCCUGGGACUGAGACACGGCCCAGACUCCUACGGGAGGCAGCAGUGGGGAAUAUUGCACAAUGGGCGAACGCCUGAUGCAGCGACGCCGCGUGCGGGAUGACGGCCUUCGGGUUGUAAACCUCUUUCAGUAGGGAAGAAGCGAAAGUGACGGUACCUGCAGAAGAAGCACCGGCUAACUACGUG
RNAcentral lists this ribosomal RNA (465 nucleotides) under uncultured bacterium. Its description in RNAcentral is "partial 16S ribosomal RNA". It matches the Rfam family "Bacterial small subunit ribosomal RNA", at positions 28 to 507 of the family's 1533-position model. The record is from RNAcentral.